Molecule: ribosomal RNA, 193 nt
Filed under: uncultured bacterium
Lineage: Bacteria
Description: partial 16S ribosomal RNA
Rfam family: Bacterial small subunit ribosomal RNA
Source: RNAcentral
CAACUCGCCUGCAUGAAGUCGGAAUUGCUAGUAAUCGUAGGUCAGCAUACUACGGUGAAUACGUUCCCGGGCCUUGUACACACCGCCCGUCAAACCAUGAGAGUUGGCAACACCCGAAGUCGGUAGUCUAACCGCAAGGAGGACGCCGCCGAAGGUGGGGUUGAUGAUUAGGGUUAAGUCGUAACAAGGUAAC